CCUACGGGAGGCAGCAGUGGGGGAUAUUGCACAAUGGGGGGAACCCUGAUGCAGCGACGCCGCGUGGGUGAAGGAGUGCUUCGGCAUGUAAAGCCCUAUCGGCAGGGAAGAAGCAAGACGGUACCUGACUAAGAAGCCCCGGCUAACUACGUGCCAGCAGCCGCGGUAAUACGUAGGGUGCGAGCGUUAUCCGGGUUCACUGGGUGUAAAGGGAGCGUAGACGGCCAUGCACGCCAGGGGUGAAAGCCCGGGGCCCAACCCCGGGACUGCCCUUGGAACUGUGCGGCUAGAGUGCGGGAGGGGCAGGCGGAAUUCGUGGUGUAGCGGUGAAAUGCGUAGAUAUCAGGAGGAACACCGGCGGCGAAGGCGGCCUGCUGGACCGCGACUGACGUUGAGGCUCGAAAGCGUGGGGAGCGAACAGGAUUAGAUACCCCUGUAGUC
Molecule: ribosomal RNA, 441 nt
Filed under: uncultured bacterium
Lineage: Bacteria
Description: partial 16S ribosomal RNA
Rfam family: Bacterial small subunit ribosomal RNA
Source: RNAcentral